RNAcentral lists this non-coding RNA (24 nucleotides) under Arabidopsis thaliana (thale cress). The record is from RNAcentral. Lineage: Eukaryota; Viridiplantae; Streptophyta; Magnoliopsida; Brassicales; Brassicaceae.
UGGUGAUGCAUGUCCGCAAAUGAA